This is a long non-coding RNA of Homo sapiens (human), 469 nucleotides long. RefSeq annotates it as IL10RB divergent transcript. The transcript is spliced from 2 exons. Lineage: Eukaryota; Metazoa; Chordata; Mammalia; Primates; Hominidae. The record is from RefSeq and is marked validated.
GAUGCACACGAGGAAGAGGAAGGGAUCCUCGCAAGCUUUGAAAGGCGCCGUCAAGUCAAAUAAAUAAAUGCCCUACAACACCAACCCAGGACUGAGAUCUGCAUGCUGGAAUGACGGUGGUGGUGGUGGCUUUCAGUAUUCCCCAGGUUUUGUCCGGAGCACCGGCACGCCCUCUCUUGAAGUCCGCUCUCCGCACAGUGGUUAGACGGGAAGAUCCGGAGCUGUCCAGUGUCUUGGGUAAUGCACGGCAUCGCCUGAUGUCUGACGCUAGAACACCACGUAAAGUCAAGCAGAGGGAAGUGAAUGCGCCCUAGGCCCCUGCAGGCCACCAAGAAGAGCUAGAGGGAGUUGGUGCAAUCCUAGAGAUGCCGGCAGGUGCACCAAUCUGUGGCACACGUACGCUCUCCAAUGGAAGACAACUCAAGACCACACCAAGUUUGUAUUAAAAAAGUACUGUUGUGUUACUUUU